UCCUACGGGAGGCAGCAGUGGGGAAUAUUGGGCAAUGGGCGAAAGCCUGACCCAGCCAUGCCGCGUGAAUGAUGAAGGCCUUAGGGUUGUAAAGUUCUUUCGUUGGUGAAGAUAAUGACGGUAACCAAAGAAGAAGCCCCGGCUAACUUCGUGCCAGCGGCCGCGGUAAGACGGAGGAGGCAAGCGUUAUCCGGAAUUAUUGGGCGUAAAGCGUCCGCAGGCGGCUAAUUAAGUCUGUUGUUAAAGCCCGCAGCUCAACUGUGGAUCGGCAAUGGAAACUGGUUAGCUAGAGUGUGGUAGGGGUAGAGGGAAUUCCCGGUGUAGCGGUGAAAUGCGUAGAUAUCGGGAAGAACACCAGUGGCGAAGGCGCUCUACUGGGCCACAACUGACGCUGAGGGACGAAAGCUAGGGGAGCGAAAGGGAUUAGAUACCCCUGUAGUCCUAGCUGUAAACGAUGGAUACUAGGUGUUGGGCGUAUCGACCCGUUCAGUACCGUAGCUAACGCGUUAAGUAUCCCGCCUGGGGAGUACGCACGCAAGUGUGAAACUCAAAGGAAUUGACGG
Molecule: ribosomal RNA, 563 nt
Filed under: uncultured cyanobacterium
Lineage: Bacteria; Bacillati; Cyanobacteriota
Description: bacterial SSU rRNA
Rfam family: Bacterial small subunit ribosomal RNA
Source: RNAcentral